AGGAUUGAGGGGUUGGAAGAGACCUUUAGAACAGCUGGUCGUUAUGCCAACCGGGUGUCCGCACUAAGUUCAGCAUCAAUAUGGUGACCUCCUGGGAGCAGGGGGCCACCAGGUUGCCUAAGGAUGAAUGAACUGGACCAGAUCAGAAAGGGAGCCGGUCAGGACUCCCGCACCAACCGGUAGUGGGACUGUGCCUGGGCAAUAUAGCAAGAUCUUGGUUCUU
RNAcentral lists this small RNA (223 nucleotides) under Pan troglodytes (chimpanzee). The stretch from base 45 to 201 matches the Rfam family "Metazoan signal recognition particle RNA", at positions 96 to 252 of the family's 299-position model. From Rfam's summary of the family: The signal recognition particle (SRP) is a universally conserved ribonucleoprotein. It is involved in the co-translational targeting of proteins to membranes. The eukaryotic SRP consists of a 300-nucleotide 7S RNA and six proteins: SRPs 72, 68, 54, 19, 14, and 9. The record is from RNAcentral. Lineage: Eukaryota; Metazoa; Chordata; Mammalia; Primates; Hominidae.